UGAAAGACGGCCAAAGCUUAUAGUAGAAAAUGAAACAAAAUGUCGGUAAAGAAAUGCAGAUUCAGAAUCUGGAAUUAAAUUUCAGUUAGUCGUCUCACGAAAACGGUAUGGUCCUAACCGAGUAGUUAAAUAAAUAUAUUAUGUUUAUUUUAUUUUAUGUUUUUAUGAAUAUAAUACAUUUAUCAUUAACUAUACAAAUGUGUAUAAAAACAUAACAUGUAUAAGAUGUAAUAGUUAUGUAGUAAAUAAAAUGGGAGAAAAUAGUUAAUAUUGUUUGAGUAUCUCAUAAGAUAGAGGAUUUUGAAACAGUAACGUUUGUAAUAAAAUAAACAUUGAAGAAAAUAGAGUGAGAGAAUUAUCCAGUUUUUUUUUCUUUCAUAUAUGUUUUUAAGGCUAG
Molecule: non-coding RNA, 397 nt
Organism: Cinara cedri
Lineage: Eukaryota; Metazoa; Arthropoda; Insecta; Hemiptera; Aphididae
Source: the annotation of a GenBank genome assembly